GCUUCAGCAGCAGAUACUAAAAUUGGAACCAUACAGAGAGGAUUAGCACCCCUGCACAAGGAUGACAUGCGAAUUCAUGGUGUUCCUUACUUUCUU
RNAcentral lists this small nuclear RNA (96 nucleotides) under Nannospalax galili (Upper Galilee mountains blind mole rat). The record is from RNAcentral. Lineage: Eukaryota; Metazoa; Chordata; Mammalia; Rodentia; Spalacidae.